Molecule: ribosomal RNA, 444 nt
Filed under: Chromolaichma sedna
Lineage: Eukaryota; Metazoa; Mollusca; Gastropoda; Nudibranchia; Chromodorididae
Description: Doriprismatica sedna partial 16S ribosomal RNA
Rfam family: Archaeal large subunit ribosomal RNA
Source: RNAcentral
AGCUUUAGGAAUAGAUCUAAGGUUAUACCUGCCCAAUGUUAAUAUCAAUGGCCGCGGUACUUUGACCGUGCUAAGGUAGCACAAUCAAUUGGCUCUUAAUUGGGGUCAGGAAUGAAUGGAGUUACGGAGUUCGACUGUCUCUUAAUUAAUUACUUGAAGUUACUAUGUAGGUGAAAAAGCCUAUAGUUAGAAAAAGGACGAGAAGACCCUUAGAGUUUUGCUUAAUAUGACAAUAGAAAAUUUUUCAUAAUGGUUUAGUUGGGGCAACAUAGGAGCAGAAGAAGAAAUCUCCUUAAUACUAUUAACCGAUAUUAUUAAAAUUGAAUAAACUACCUUAGGGAUAACAGCAUAAUUUAAAAAAUAAGUUUGUGACCUCGAUGUUGGACUAGGAAACUUAAAGGCUAGCCGUCUUUAAGGGAAGUUCUGUUCGAACUAAUUAUUCCU